RNAcentral lists this ribosomal RNA (107 nucleotides) under Oligoflexia bacterium. Lineage: Bacteria; Pseudomonadati; Bdellovibrionota; Oligoflexia. The record is from RNAcentral.
UCUGGUGAUUAAUCGCAGGGGUCACACCUCUUCCCAUUCCGAACAGAGAAGUUAAGCCCUGUUGAGCCCAUGAUACCCGAUGAGGGAAAAGUAGGUAGUCGCCGGAA